CUUAUUUUCACUUAGCAUAAUGCCCGCACGUUCCAACCAUGUUGUCACAAAAAGGAAGAAUUCGUUGUUUUUUAUGGCUGAAUAAUUUUCCAUUGUGUGUAUACACCACAUCUCCUUUACCCAUUCAUCCAUCGAUGGACACUAAGUUUGUUUCCACAUCUUGGCUGUUAUAAAUGAUACUGCAGUGAACAUGGGGCUGCAGACAUCUUUUCAACCUGUCCGGGUCGUUUUGCUGGAGUCACUGUCUCUGCAGCUUCAUGGUCCAGCAUUGAUGGGGUUUCGGUUCAAUGGCUUCACUGAUGUGGAUCCUGCUGUACUAGACUUGCCUCUCAUUUUGGCAUAAUUAGUGAAAAAUAGGAAGAUUAGUCCUGAGCUAACAUCUGCCGCCAAUCCUCCUCUUUUUGCUGAGGAAGACUGGCCUUGAGCUAAGAUCUGUGC
RNAcentral lists this long non-coding RNA (438 nucleotides) under Equus caballus (horse). RNAcentral describes it as "lncRNA (ENSECAG00000051870.1)". Lineage: Eukaryota; Metazoa; Chordata; Mammalia; Perissodactyla; Equidae. The record is from RNAcentral.